CUGGGCCCAGGGUGAUGGCUCAGCUUUAUCUCAGCUAAGGUAGCAUAAGCUGCUGACCAUCAGGAGGGUUUUGAAGACAAGUACCAAGGAAGGAGUUGUGUUCCUGAGCAGAACUUUGCACGAGGACUCCAUUAUAUGUUUUGGUUCGUUAUCUCCUGACAUAACAGUUCUGUUGGCCCAGGAUGUGGUUUAUCUUAUCACAUAGAGAUGAUACCCUGUCAAGAUAUGCUCCAGUUUCUGGGAACAAUUGUUCUAUUGUGCUUGGAGAAUGCCUGGGACAACAUGCUAUUGCCCACUGGCAGAGCCUUACAGAAAUGUAGUCUGAAGGCUGAGAAAGACACCUGAACAUGAGUUUUGUAAAUUUGCUAAAGAGCCCCAAAGCGACAGAGGGUCUUGAGAUGAAGCUUCGGGUGCCAUCCCUUGAACUCAGUCAGCUAAGCAGUAUCUUUCACAAGAAGAUAAGAGCUGGGGAAGUCUCCUUAGCAGUGGGAUGCAACAGCAGGCAACUGUGCUGAUGGCUGUCCUUAACAGGGUUGUUUGGAACGGUCCCCUUGGUGCCCCCACAGCUUGUUGUAGAAGUUUUGUCUUCACCAUUCCACCUAAUCAGAAUUUGUUAUCAUCAUUUGUCUCCGUUGUGUCUUUGUUUCUCA
This 650-nucleotide long non-coding RNA is filed under the name Gallus gallus (chicken). RNAcentral describes it as "long non-coding RNA NONGGAT006587". Lineage: Eukaryota; Metazoa; Chordata; Aves; Galliformes; Phasianidae. The record is from RNAcentral.